GGCCGCUGAUGACACGCCAAACAAUUUUCUGACACCUCAUAUGAGAGCUAAGCUCCUGAUUCUAAUGCUGUUCUGAGGCCC
This is a small nucleolar RNA of Fundulus heteroclitus (mummichog), 81 nucleotides long. RefSeq annotates it as small nucleolar RNA SNORD60. The record is from RefSeq and is a predicted model, not a curated record. NCBI's taxonomy places the organism in Eukaryota, Metazoa, Chordata, Actinopteri, Cyprinodontiformes, Fundulidae. The transcript has a single exon.